This 485-nucleotide ribosomal RNA is filed under the name Ligia sp. Careyes F. RNAcentral describes it as "partial 16S ribosomal RNA". It matches the Rfam family "Bacterial large subunit ribosomal RNA", at positions 1832 to 2597 of the family's 2925-position model. The record is from RNAcentral. Lineage: Eukaryota; Metazoa; Arthropoda; Malacostraca; Isopoda; Ligiidae.
CGCCUGGUAAAAUUAUACCAGGUAGAUUCUGCCCAAUGAACUUUAAAUGGCCGCAGUAUCCUGACUGUGCUAAGGUAGCAUAAUAAUUUGCCUCUUAAUUGGAGGCUAGAAUGAAUGAACUGACGAAGAGCUUUCUGUCUCAGAAGCUUACAGAAAAUUUAUAUUCAGGUAAAAAAUCCUGAAAGUUGUAGGGGGACGAUAAGACCCUAAAAGCUUUACCCUUAAACUCUAAAGCAGUAAAAAAAUUAUUUAGAUUUAUUGGGUUUUCACUGGGGCGGUGACUCUACCUAACUAAAGCCAUUCAAAUACUUUGAGUAAAACUAAUUACCUUAAUUUAAAUCUACAGAUAAGUUACUUUAGGGAUAACAGCGCAAUUUUCUGAAAGAGCCCAUAUCGACCAGAAAGAUUACGACCUCGAUGUUGAAUUGAAGCCUUAGCUAAAGCAGCAUUUAGCUUUAAGAAGACUGUUCGUCUUUUAAACCUUC